GCGAGUAUGGCCCUCACGGGUCUAAUCCACCAUAAACACCUUUGUGAACCAGUCAGGGGGACUCGGCCAUGAAAGCCCAGGCGAUUAGCGGAAGGGCCGUCCUUUGCAAACCCGUUUAGAAGUCUUGAAAGUACUUUUGUAUAAUCUAGUA
This 151-nucleotide unclassified non-coding RNA is filed under the name soil metagenome. RNAcentral describes it as "partial internal transcribed spacer 1". The record is from RNAcentral.